GGAUGUGAGGGCGAUCUGGCUGUGACAUCUGUCACCUCAUUCAUCGCCAGGGUUGAUUCGGCUGAUCUGGCUGGCUAGGCGGGUGUCCCCUUCCUCCCUCACCGCUCCAUGUGCGUCCCUCCUGAAGGUGCGCACUCGGUCGAAGAGGACAGCCUUCCCCGAAUAGAGACGGACCAGUCUUCAGUAUACGAGUAGCUGCGCUCCCCUGCUAGAACCUCCAAACAAGCUCUCAAGAAUGGUAGAGAAUGUUCCAUUCUCUGAAGGGGGCUUGGAUAACAUACUCUAUAUACCACCUGAAGAAAAUGGGUCCUGA
Molecule: unclassified non-coding RNA, 313 nt
Organism: Erinaceus europaeus (western European hedgehog)
Lineage: Eukaryota; Metazoa; Chordata; Mammalia; Eulipotyphla; Erinaceidae
Gene: 7SK
Rfam family: 7SK RNA
About the family: 7SK was discovered as an abundant small nuclear RNA in the mid-70s but a possible function has only recently been suggested. Two independent studies have found that 7SK RNA binds the CDK9/cyclin T complex (known as elongation factor P-TEFb).
Source: Ensembl